Molecule: ribosomal RNA, 408 nt
Filed under: uncultured bacterium
Lineage: Bacteria
Description: partial 16S ribosomal RNA
Rfam family: Bacterial small subunit ribosomal RNA
Source: RNAcentral
UGGGGAUAUUGCACAAUGGGCGCAAGCCUGAUGCAGCCAUGCCGCGUGUGUGAAGAAGGCCUUCGGGUUGUAAAGCACUUUCAGCGAGGAGGAAGGGUUCAGUGUUAAUAGCACUGUUCAUUGACGUUACUCGCAGAAGAAGCACCGGCUAACUCCGUGCCAGCAGCCGCGGUAAUACGGAGGGUGCAAGCGUUAAUCGGAAUUACUGGGCGUAAAGCGCACGCAGGCGGUUUGUUAAGUCAGAUGUGAAAUCCCCGCGCUUAACGUGGGAACUGCAUUUGAAACUGGCAAGCUAGAGUCUUGUAGAGGGGGGUAGAAUUCCAGGUGUAGCGGUGAAAUGCGUAGAGAUCUGGAGGAAUACCGGUGGCGAGGGCGGCCCCCUGGCAAAGACUACGCUCAGUGCGAAAG